RNAcentral lists this ribosomal RNA (393 nucleotides) under uncultured bacterium. RNAcentral describes it as "partial 16S ribosomal RNA". It matches the Rfam family "Bacterial small subunit ribosomal RNA", at positions 523 to 918 of the family's 1533-position model. The record is from RNAcentral.
AUACGGAGGAUGCGAGCGUUAUCCGGAUUUAUUGGGUUUAAAGGGUGCGUAGGCUGUGCGUUAAGUCAGGGGUGAAAUGCCGUCGCUCAACGACGGAGCUGCCCUUGAUACUGGCGUGCUGGAGUACGGAUGCCGUUGGAGGAAUGAGUGGUGUAGCGGUGAAAUGCUUAGAUAUCACUCAGAACACCGAUUGCGAAGGCAUCUGACGAAUCCGUCACUGACGCUGGGGCACGAAAGCGUGGGGAUAGAACAGGAUUAGAUACCCUGGUAUUCCACGCCGUAAACGAUGAUGACUAACCGUCGGCGAUAGACAGCCGGUGGCCAAGCGAAAGCGAUAAGUCAUCCACCUGGGGAGUACGUCGGCAACGAUGAAACUUAAAGGAAUUGACGGGG